GCCAUGCCGCGUGUGUGAAGAAGGCCUUUUGGUUGUAAAGCACUUUAAGCGAGGAGGAGGCUACUGGUAUUAAUACUACCGGAUAGUGGACGUUACUCGCAGAAUAAGCACCGGCUAACUCUGUGCCAGCAGCCGCGGUAAUACAGAGGGUGCGAGCGUUAAUCGGAUUUACUGGGCGUAAAGCGUGCGUAGGCGGCUUUUUAAGUCGGAUGUGAAAUCCCUGAGCUUAACUUAGGAAUUGCAUUCGAUACUGGGAGGCUAGAGUAUGGGAGAGGAUGGUAGAAUUCCAGGUGUAGCGGUGAAAUGCGUAGAGAUCUGGAGGAAUACCGAUGGCGAAGGCAGCCAUCUGGCCUAAUACUGACGCUGAGGUACGAAAGCAUGGGGAGCAAACAGGAUUAGAUACCCUGGUAGUCCAUGCCGUAAACGAUGUCUACUAGCCGUUGGGGCCUUUGAGGCUUUAGUGGCGCAGCUAACGCGAUAAGUAGACCGCCUGGGGAGUACGGUC
RNAcentral lists this ribosomal RNA (505 nucleotides) under uncultured bacterium. Its description in RNAcentral is "bacterial SSU rRNA". It matches the Rfam family "Bacterial small subunit ribosomal RNA", at positions 391 to 887 of the family's 1533-position model. The record is from RNAcentral.